This is a non-coding RNA of Paramuricea clavata, 2486 nucleotides long. Lineage: Eukaryota; Metazoa; Cnidaria; Anthozoa; Malacalcyonacea; Plexauridae. The record is from the annotation of a GenBank genome assembly.
AUGCCUGUUCAGAAUGUAGGAAAAGUGCAUUUUGAAUACCAAAACACCUUGCACAAUGUCGAAGGUUAGCUAAAUAUUCUAAUUCUUCUUAGCUUGUCACGGAAUACUUUACAAUUGUGGCGUUCAUAGGUGUAUACUGUAUGGAUGUAAAACUUAUAUUAUAGUAAUAGGAUUAAGCGGUAGAGACUUUGCUCUUUCCUGACUAUCUAGAGCUGUUGAUAGAUAAAUGACGUAGUUCCUUAUUUGGGAGAGUCUCCCACGGAGUGUUGUAUGAUAUAUAAGAUUGUGUUUUAGGUUAAUAAAAGGUUCUCCAUUCUGGCCUUGAUUGCGAGCGCUUGUUGUGUACCAACGCGGCACGUUACAAUUUGGUGGCAGCGGCGGGAUAAUGAUCGAAGACGCGCAAUAGCCGCUAUCAAGGCCAUGGUUUUAAGACAAGAGUAAGACAAACCGAGCGGGCAAUCCGGCGGAGAGUGCAGUCAAACGUUUGGCUUCGCAAGUUGCCGCAAGUUGGACUGUGUUCAGUGGAAUAGGUGGACUGAGAGGAGAUCCAGAUUGUCGAUGUUGGUCGAGCGGCGAUCUUACCAAGACCAAACAAGGACUGUCCAGAAAACUGAGUAGAAAGUACUAAAUAAGUAAACGCCAACCAAAACUGAAUUGAACUGUCUGUGUGUGAGUUAUGUGUUUCCUUUCCUGUAUGCUGUGUAUUUUGACUUUUGAGUUUGAAAAUUUCCCGUGUUGUGCGCUUGUGCUGUGUAUGAAUCAUCAGAAGUAAAUCGUCUAUCCAGUGUCACCUGGCAAGAAUAUGUUUCCUACCAGCUGUGAAGUCCUGGCGUUUUCUGCGUUGGUUCAUCCCUUCUACAGUUUUAUUUGACUUUCGUGUGAACUGAUAAUUAUGUUAUAUGUAUUGUUGCUUUCAAGACAUUUUAUAUCUUUAAAUUAGUGAACUUAUAUUUGUUGCGCGCGUGAACGGUAUAUAUCAUAGUAGUUUCGAUGGAAGCACAAAAAAAAAACACAAAAAAAAUAGAGAUGUUAAAGACAGUUAUGUUGGCAGAGAUAGCGUAAGUCCGGUAGUAUAAAAGAAACGGCAGACCAACGAUAGAGUAGCUGUAGCCUUGUGGUAAUUAUGAUAAGUGAGCACAAGUGAUGCCGGAAAUAGUCCUGUAGAGUAGGGACAAAGAAAAAACAUUUAAGAAAAUAUGUGCUCGAAGUUGCUAGUUAAGUGAUAUGAUGUUACCUGGUGAUUUAUUUUUUUUGUAUAUUAGGCUUGUCGUUUAUGUAUAUAUUCAGUUUUCGGGACGAAAACAAUAAGUGAAGGGAUAUUGUGGCGUUCAUAGGUGUAUACUGUAUGGAUGUAAAACUUAUAUUAUAGUAAUAGGAUUAAGCGGUAGAGACUUUGCUCUUUCCUGACUAUCUAGAGCUGUUGAUAGAUAAAUGACGUAGUUCCUUAUUUGGGAGAGUCUCCCACGGAGUGUUGUAUGAUAUAUAAGAUUGUGUUUUAGGUUAAUAAAAGGUUCUCCAUUCUGGCCUUGAUUGCGAGCGCUUGUUGUGUACCAACGCGGCACGUUACACAAUAUCAUAUAAACAAUAAUACUACUUGAAUGAAUCAUUGGACAUGUAUAGAAUUUAAUAACAAUUUCAAAUGGCACCUUGAAUGCUAUGUUCACAGAACAACUGAUGGGGUAGCAAAUCUAUUUGUUGACAUUUUUGUCUGCUUCAGAUGACACUGUUCAUGGCUAGCUUGAAUACUGUACAAUAUCAUAUAUAUAAACAAUAAUACUUGAAUGAAUCAGUGGACAUGUAGAAUUUAAUUAGCCUCCUCCGCAGGCAUCGCCUUUAGAUUAUCGGGCAAAAUUUCUUGCAGGCAAAAAAUCCGAGAUGCCUGCGGAGUUCAUGUGGCUACUAUAUAACUCAUGACGUGUUCAUGUGGCUACUAACUCUUGACGAAGGGCCUUCGCUCGAAACGUCGACUUUCUGCUUGUUUUUUUUUUCGGGUAGUAAUAUAACCACUCAGCACAGCAAGUCAGUCACAUUGGUACCACCCACACUGGUACAGACAGUUUUAGUAUGUUCACAGAACAAUCUGCUGAUGGGGAGACAAAAAACUAUUUGUUGACAUUUCUGUUUAAUACGUCAGCUUCAGAUGACACCGUUCAUUUGUAAUGACUAAGAUUGUACUCAGUCACAACUGCAAAACUAUAUAAUAAGAAAGAAAUUGUGAGCAUUAUAAAAAAAUAUAGUAUAGCCUGAACACAGCCAUGUGAAUAUGUGAAUGUAGGUUGGUAGCCGGUAGGAUUAUUUCAUAUUAGGCUAUGCUAUUAAACAAUGGACAUAUGUCAGAGAAUAUAUUUUUACAGACCGUCAUACCUCGUACAAAAGGCGGUUGACAUGUUAUAUUACAUGUAACUGCUGGUAAGUUAGCUAAUAUGUGCAGACAACAAUCCACACUGGUCACUGGGUUAACUGCAUGUGUUGCUAUAGGAAUAUAG